This 59-nucleotide small RNA is filed under the name Sinorhizobium meliloti 2011. RNAcentral's name for it is "putative ncRNA". Lineage: Bacteria; Pseudomonadati; Pseudomonadota; Alphaproteobacteria; Hyphomicrobiales; Rhizobiaceae. The record is from RNAcentral.
CUACUUGUUUGAUUUCCUCAUCCCUGUGCUCGUCACAGAGAUGAGGAGGAGAGAUUGCA